Molecule: non-coding RNA, 27 nt
Filed under: Rattus norvegicus (Norway rat)
Lineage: Eukaryota; Metazoa; Chordata; Mammalia; Rodentia; Muridae
Source: RNAcentral
UUGUACAUAUUUGUGAUACAGGGAGGA